CGGACGCGCUGUGAGAGCGGCUCCCGGGGUCCGCUCCCGGCCCAGCCAGAGCCGUGCUGUCACACCGACCCCUCAGGAGUGUGUUCGAAGGCUGGGAUUGCCUUGGGGACUCACGAAGAUCACAGGGGUGAUGCCAAGGGUCAGUCAGGAAACAGUUAUCAUGAUCAGGCUGGAGGGAAAACACCUGGGGUUGUUAGUUGCCCCUCAUAGGAUUACUCUGUUUUUACAACUGGAAUCCCAGGAGUGCUCUUGGAAGUCCGAGGAAGACCUGAAAUCUGCUUCCCCAUUUCUGAGGAGUGAGCAGCUACACACUUAAGAGCCCAGGACCCGGGAAAGGAUCCAGGAAGUUCAUAAUUUCCACGUGUUUCUGGCCUCAAGGAAGACAGAAAACAUUGUGUCAUUCCACGCUCCCUUCCAAGACUUGGUGAUUGCCAGCUGCUCUGUCCAUCUUUCCCCCAGCUCUGUGUCCUCCCUGCAGUUCAGAGCACCAGUCCAGAAUAAGAAAGACGUGGAAGACAGGAUGAGAAAUAAUAAAAUUAACAUUUGGGGGCCUCGCCUCUGUGAAACAUUCCUCUGGGAACCUUCUGUUACCUAUUACUUUGCAACUCUUACACCCUCUUUUAUCUCGAGCUAUUAUUUUUCUUCUGGUCAUCAUUUUUAUAAGUAGCAAAAAAUUUAGCUUUCUCCUUACCUUCAAGAGUAACAUGAUAGAAGUAGGGUUGAGAAGAGGAAGAAAAAAAAAUUCCUUUACCCACCAGGAAACCCUUGGGAGCACAAACUAAAAGUAAGGAGUAGAAAGUGUGAUCUUCCUCCUAAUAAAGCUCUUUAUAAUAAAA
Molecule: long non-coding RNA, 836 nt
Organism: Heterocephalus glaber (naked mole-rat)
Lineage: Eukaryota; Metazoa; Chordata; Mammalia; Rodentia; Bathyergidae
Source: RefSeq, a predicted model, not a curated record